Molecule: transfer RNA, 88 nt
Filed under: Planctomycetota bacterium
Lineage: Bacteria; Pseudomonadati; Planctomycetota
Description: Planctomycetes bacterium (bioreactor metagenome) tRNA-Leu
Rfam family: tRNA
About the family: Transfer RNA (tRNA) molecules are approximately 80 nucleotides in length. Their secondary structure includes four short double-helical elements and three loops (D, anti-codon, and T loops).
Source: RNAcentral
GCCCAGAUGGCGGAAUUGGCAGACGCACUAGCUUGAGGUGCUAGCGCCCCAAAAGGGCUUGCAGGUUCAAAUCCUGUUCUGGGCACCA